Molecule: ribosomal RNA, 486 nt
Filed under: uncultured bacterium
Lineage: Bacteria
Description: partial 16S ribosomal RNA
Rfam family: Bacterial small subunit ribosomal RNA
Source: RNAcentral
AUUGAACGCUGGCGGCAUGCCUUACACAUGCAAGUCGAACGGCAGCGCGGACUUCGGUCUGGCGGCGAGUGGCGAACGGGUGAGUAAUACAUCGGAACGUACCCUGUUGUGGGGGAUAACUAGUCGAAAGAUUAGCUGAUACCGCAUACGUCCUGAGGGUGAAAGUGGGGGACCGGAGACGGCCUCAUGCAGCAGGAGCGGCCGAUGUCUGAUUAGCUAGUUGGUGGGGUAAAGGCCCACCAAGGCGACGAUCAGUAGCUGGUCUGAGAGGACGAUCAGCCACACUGGAACUGAGACACGGCCCAGACUCCUACGGGAGGCAGCAGUGGGGAAUUUUGGACAAUGGGCGCAACCCUGAUCCAGCAAUGCCGCGUGUGUGAAGAAGGCCUUCGGGUUGUAAAGCACUUUUGGCCGGGAAGAAAGGGAGUUGGUUAAUACCUGGCGUGGAUGACGGUACCGGAAGAAUAAGCACCGGCUAACUACGUG